CGAGGAAAAGAAACCAACUGGGAUUACCUUAGUAACGGCGAGUGAAGCGGUAAAAGCUCAAAUUUGAAAUCUGGUACUUUCAGUGCCCGAGUUGUAAUUUGUAGAAUUUGUCUUUGAUUAGGUCCUUGUCUAUGUUCCUUGGAACAGGACGUCAUAGAGGGUGAGAAUCCCGUUUGGCGAGGAUACCUUUUCUCUGUAAGACUUUUUCGAAGAGUCGAGUUGUUUGGGAAUGCAGCUCAAAGUGGGUGGUAAAUUCCAUCUAAAGCUAAAUAUUGGCGAGAGACCGAUAGCGAACAAGUACAGUGAUGGAAAGAUGAAAAGAACUUUGAAAAGAGAGUGAAAAAGUACGUGAAAUUGUUGAAAGGGAAGGGCAUUUGAUCAGACAUGGUGUUUUUUGCAUGCACUCGCCUCUCGUGGGCUUGGGCCUCUCAAAAAUUUCACUGGGCCAACAUCAAUUCUGGCAGCAGGAUAAAUCAUUAAGAAUGUAGCUACUUCGGUAGUGUUAUAGCUUUUUGGAAUACUGUUAGCCGGGAUUGAGGACUGCGCUUCGGCAAGGAUGUUGGCAUAAUGGUUAAAUGCCGCCCGUC
RNAcentral lists this ribosomal RNA (587 nucleotides) under Hanseniaspora uvarum. RNAcentral's name for it is "eukaryotic LSU rRNA". It matches the Rfam family "Eukaryotic large subunit ribosomal RNA", at positions 52 to 653 of the family's 3401-position model. Lineage: Eukaryota; Fungi; Ascomycota; Saccharomycetes; Saccharomycodales; Saccharomycodaceae. The record is from RNAcentral.